Molecule: non-coding RNA, 2094 nt
Organism: Ictidomys tridecemlineatus (thirteen-lined ground squirrel)
Lineage: Eukaryota; Metazoa; Chordata; Mammalia; Rodentia; Sciuridae
Source: RefSeq, a predicted model, not a curated record
GCCACUAGGGCGCACACGCUGACGCUUGCCACCGCGCCACCCUUGCCACUGCUGCAGUGCACCGACAGGCCCUGGGGCGCCGCGGGUCGGAGAAGAGAAGCAAAGGCCCCUCACCCAGCUGCCAGCCUCGGGAGCAAGGGGACAGGCGCGCCGCAGAGGCAGGACGCCCCGCCCACGCGCCGCUCUGCGCAGAAAGUCGUACGCCCGUGGGAAACCACUCAGCAAACAGAGAUGGAGAGCUGUGGACAAGGUGCCCAAGACGGCGCGGGGGCAUCUCCAGGGCAGCGCGCCCGUGAGCAACGCCGGGCUCCUGCGUCCCCUCCUGCCUAACUCCAUCUCUGUGCGUCCUUGAAAUAAGAAAAAAAUUGUAGAAUGGAGAAUAGGUCAGAGGUCGCCCUGGUGAGGAGAGGGGGGCAUGAGGGCUGGCCGUGACAACAAAAGGAGCCACCCAGGAGAGAGCUUAAUGCAGUGGAAUCUUCCAGUGCCGACCCCCGCCCCCCCCCCCCAGGUGGGGAUGAAACCCAGGGCCUUGGGCAUCUGGGCAGACACUCCACCACUGCUGCAGCCCCAGCAUUUCCAGUGCCUUUAAAAUUAGGCUGGGGAUAUAGCUCAGUUGGUAGAGUGCUUGCCUCACAUGCGCAAGGCCCUGGGUUCAAUCCCCAGCACCACACACACAAAAAGAUACAUAAAUAAUGUAUAUAUUUAUGGGGUGCAUAUUUAUGGGGUACAUUGGAACCUGUAAUGUUCCAAUCAGGGUAAACAUCUCUCCUGCCAUGAACUCACCCAGUAUCUUCAUUGCAGGUGCUCAGGUGAAUCUGCACACCUGACCAAAUGGCCCAGAUCCCCAUACAUGUGCUGUACCAGUGUCCGCUUCCUGGUUUUGACUUUGCCCUUUAGCUAGUAAGGUUCUUCAUCAGGAGAAACUGGGUGACAUUGAACCUCUGUAUCAUCUUUGCAACUUCCUGUGAAUCUGUAAUUGUUCAAUAAUAUUUUUUUUUUAAAGUAUGCUCUGAGAAAUCUGCCUCCUGUAAAUCAGUAGUUGGCCUGGUGUGAAUUUUGUUAUGACAGCCUCUCUUAAUUCUUUGAAUUUCUUCACUAUAAUGUGUCAGGUAUAAUUUAGUGAAAUUAUCUUUAUUAAUAAUUAAUGUUUUUCCUAAUGGGCAACUCUAUUUGGUCCUCUUUGCACUUUGUUUAAAACAAUGCUUAGGAACAGCCCCCAAUCCUCAGCUCUUGUGGUCCAGUUCCUAGUCCUGUUCCCAGUCUCAUCAAGACACAAAUAGUCUCAUUUGUCCCUAUGAUUCUUGGUGGUCCCCGCCCCCCCCCCACACAGACAGUGCACCUGAGUAAGACUGAGGCGGGAAGUCAGGGGGCCAUCCUUCUUCCAAGCAGGAGGAGAACCAUUAUGAAAUGGGCUAGGGGGCCAAAACCCAGCUGGACACCUCGCCUGCAGAAAUUGUCCCCAGGCAGAUCAGGGUUAGAUAAGGGAGCCAGUGGAGGCUGAGGAUCUGUAAACUGCUCCUCUGAAAACUAUCCAUGUGCCUUGGGACCUGGAAAGUCACCAAGACACUUUCUACCACAAGUCCCCAGUCCCCAUCUGAGGACAACGUGAGUGGCUCUAUUUUACAGCGGAGAAAAAUGAGUCUGGGUUAAGUAAUUUACUAAAGAUCACUUGGCAGUGGCUAUACUGAGUCAGAAGUCUACAGACAAACUUCCAAAUUCAUUUUCUUUCAAAUGCUGCUUUGUGAAAACACUGUUUAUGGGUUUUCCCUAGUACCAUAUGGAUAGGAGCAAAAUUACCCUUUUGUGGACAUUAGAAUUUGUCUGGUGUUGCCAGAUGUGGUGGUGCACCACUGUAAUCCCAGCAGGUCAGGAGGCUGAGGCAGGAGGAUCACAAGUACGAGGCCAGCCUCAGCAAUUUAGCUUUAGCGCUGCCCCUCAGCAACUUAGUGAGACUCUGUCUUAAAAUAAAAAAUAAAAAGAACUGGGAAUGUGGCUCAGUGGUUAAGCACCCAGGGUUCAAUCCCCAGUACCAAAAAAAAAAAAAAAAAAAGAAAUCGCUUUCUUUUAAUAACAUUGAUGAUACCUACCUGCUGA